GAAAGAUGGCUUGGCUAAUCACUCUGGGAUGGACCUGCGGUGCAUUAGCUAGUUGGUAAGGUAACGGCUUACCAAGGCGAUGAUGCAUAGCCGAGUUGAGAGACUGAUCGGCCACAAUGGAACUGAGACACGGUCCAUACUCCUACGGGAGGCAGCAGUAGGGAAUCUUCCACAAUGGGCGCAAGCCUGAUGGAGCAACACCGCGUGAGUGAAGAAGGGUUUCGGCUCGUAAAGCUCUGUUGUUGGAGAAGAACGUGCGUGAGAGUAACUGUUCACGCAGUGACGGUAUCCAACCAGAAAGUCACGGCUAACUACGUGCCAGCAGCCGCGGUAAUACGUAGGUGGCAAGCGUUAUCCGGAUUUAUUGGGCGUAAAGCGAGCGCAGGCGGUUGCUUAGGUCUGAUGUGAAAGCCUUCGGCUUAACCGAAGAAGUGCAUCGGAAACCGGGCGACUUGAGUGCAGAAGAGGACAGUGGAACUCCAUGUGUAGCGGUGGAAUGCGUAGAUAUAUGGAAGAACACCAGUGGCGAAGGCGGCUGUCUGGUCUGCAACUGACGCUGAGGCUCGAAAGCAUGGGUAGCGAACAGGAUUAGAUACCCUGGUAGUCCAUGCCGUAAACGAUGAGUGCUAGGUGUUGGAGGGUUUCCGCCCUUCAGUGCC
Molecule: ribosomal RNA, 659 nt
Filed under: uncultured bacterium
Lineage: Bacteria
Description: bacterial SSU rRNA
Rfam family: Bacterial small subunit ribosomal RNA
Source: RNAcentral